RNAcentral lists this ribosomal RNA (1441 nucleotides) under Staphylococcus aureus. Its description in RNAcentral is "bacterial SSU rRNA". It matches the Rfam family "Bacterial small subunit ribosomal RNA". The record is from RNAcentral. Lineage: Bacteria; Bacillati; Bacillota; Bacilli; Caryophanales; Staphylococcaceae.
CACGUGGAUAACCUACCUAUAAGACUGGGAUAACUUCGGGAAACCGGAGCUAAUACCGGAUAAUAUUUUGAACCGCAUGGUUCAAAAGUGAAAGACGGUCUUGCUGUCACUUAUAGAUGGAUCCGCGCUGCAUUAGCUAGUUGGUAAGGUAACGGCUUACCAAGGCAACGAUGCAUAGCCGACCUGAGAGGGUGAUCGGCCACACUGGAACUGAGACACGGUCCAGACUCCUACGGGAGGCAGCAGUAGGGAAUCUUCCGCAAUGGGCGAAAGCCUGACGGAGCAACGCCGCGUGAGUGAUGAAGGUCUUCGGAUCGUAAAACUCUGUUAUUAGGGAAGAACAUAUGUGUAAGUAACUGUGCACAUCUUGACGGUACCUAAUCAGAAAGCCACGGCUAACUACGUGCCAGCAGCCGCGGUAAUACGUAGGUGGCAAGCGUUAUCCGGAAUUAUUGGGCGUAAAGCGCGCGUAGGCGGUUUUUUAAGUCUGAUGUGAAAGCCCACGGCUCAACCGUGGAGGGUCAUUGGAAACUGGAAAACUUGAGUGCAGAAGAGGAAAGUGGAAUUCCAUGUGUAGCGGUGAAAUGCGCAGAGAUAUGGAGGAACACCAGUGGCGAAGGCGACUUUCUGGUCUGUAACUGACGCUGAUGUGCGAAAGCGUGGGGAUCAAACAGGAUUAGAUACCCUGGUAGUCCACGCCGUAAACGAUGAGUGCUAAGUGUUAGGGGGUUUCCGCCCCUUAGUGCUGCAGCUAACGCAUUAAGCACUCCGCCUGGGGAGUACGACCGCAAGGUUGAAACUCAAAGGAAUUGACGGGGACCCGCACAAGCGGUGGAGCAUGUGGUUUAAUUCGAAGCAACGCGAAGAACCUUACCAAAUCUUGACAUCCUUUGACAACUCUAGAGAUAGAGCCUUCCCCUUCGGGGGACAAAGUGACAGGUGGUGCAUGGUUGUCGUCAGCUCGUGUCGUGAGAUGUUGGGUUAAGUCCCGCAACGAGCGCAACCCUUAAGCUUAGUUGCCAUCAUUAAGUUGGGCACUCUAAGUUGACUGCCGGUGACAAACCGGAGGAAGGUGGGGAUGACGUCAAAUCAUCAUGCCCCUUAUGAUUUGGGCUACACACGUGCUACAAUGGACAAUACAAAGGGCAGCGAAACCGCGAGGUCAAGCAAAUCCCAUAAAGUUGUUCUCAGUUCGGAUUGUAGUCUGCAACUCGACUACAUGAAGCUGGAAUCGCUAGUAAUCGUAGAUCAGCAUGCUACGGUGAAUACGUUCCCGGGUCUUGUACACACCGCCCGUCACACCACGAGAGUUUGUAACACCCGAAGCCGGUGGAGUAACCUUUUAGGAGCUAGCCGUCGAAGGUGGGACAAAUGAUUGGGGUGAAGUCGUAACAAGGUAGCCGUAUCGGAAGGUGCGGCUGGAUCACCUCCUUUCUAAGGA